This is a non-coding RNA of Parasteatoda tepidariorum (common house spider), 237 nucleotides long. Lineage: Eukaryota; Metazoa; Arthropoda; Arachnida; Araneae; Theridiidae. The record is from RefSeq and is a predicted model, not a curated record.
AAAUUCAGAGAUGUUGCAAUUGUGCCACCUGAUAAUUUUCGUCCUUAUCUGACAUCUUUUCAGAGUAAUGAUAAUACAGAUUACAUCAAUGCUGUUUUUGUCGACGGUUAUACGAGAUCAAAGGAGUACAUCAACACUGAAUGGCCACUACAGCGCACAGUUCAAGAUUUCUGGUCAUUAGUCUAUGAUCAUGAUUGCAACACCGUGGUUGUUCUAUGCAGUCCACCACCCUCACAU